Molecule: long non-coding RNA, 2933 nt
Filed under: Sus scrofa (pig)
Lineage: Eukaryota; Metazoa; Chordata; Mammalia; Artiodactyla; Suidae
Description: lncRNA (ENSSSCG00035012510.1)
Source: RNAcentral
UUUUUUUUUUUUUUUUUUUUUUGCCUCCUUUUGUUUUCACUGGAUGGAAUUCAUGCCUUUCUUUGCUAAAAAAGGAGUUGCAUCAGGCUGUGGGGCUCAGGAAAAGGUUUUUUCACCUUUUAGGUAGUAAUACAGACAUCUGGCAGCAAGGAGUUAUAGAAAACUUCUCUAUCCUUUCUCUCUCUUUUUUUUAAAGGGAGCCAUGACUUCAGGUAGAGGAUAUCAGCUAACAUACCUUUGCAGGCAUUGGGCUCUUUCAAGACCUCUAUGGUGAUCAAACCAAAUAUUUAAAAGGACAUUUACGUAAACGAAAGCAUGGUCUGCAUUCACAAACCAUUUUCAAUAAGAUCUCUUUCCAUCAAGAGUCUAACCAUCUGCUUGCCAUCUUAUAUUUUUUAAUAUUAUUCUGUCAAAUAUAUGCUCUGUCAACGCAGGUAAAGGAAUACUUGAAAAAUCUGAACACACACAAAUCAGUGAGUCCAGAUGACAUGAAUCCUGAAGUCUGGAGGGAAUUAGUUAAUGCAGCCUUGCAAAUAAGUACCCAAAACAGAGCAGCUUCACAGUAAUAUUUUAUCAAACCGCUCUCCUUUGAGGAAGUACAUAGGUAGUAAAAUAAAUAUAAUCAACAUUCUCUUAGAUUCUCCUGGCACAAUUUGUUACCUUGGACAAGUUACCAUUUACAAGGCCACACAAUGAGCUUACUCGGUCACUAAAAAGGAGGGGGAAAAAGGUAGCAUAGCACCAUGAAAGAGCAAAAAACAAAACAAAAAAAAAAAGACUUUCGGCAUGGUAUUUUUCUAAAGAUUAUAGAGAAAAUGUGAAAUUUAUUAUCUACUAAGGGUGGCUUUUCAAGAUCUAGAAAAGGAUAAACCAUAUAUGAGUUGUCACUCAGGGGUCCUUGUAGGACUGGAAGCCAGAAUGACCUUGAUCUGACCCUAUUUGUCACCUGGCUGUGUAAGCACAGCCACGGACCUCACAUGUGCAAAAGGUAGAAAUUCGGCUAUCUCUUCUUUGAGUAUUGUAGCAAAUUAAAAGUGGCUUCGAAUUCCUUGACAACCUUCUCAUUGAAAGUUGGGGUCUACUUCCCUUCCCCUUGGAUCUGGGCUUGGCCUAUAAGUGCCCUGACCAACAGAAUAUAAUAGAAGUAACGCUAUAUGUACCACUUUCAGGCCUAGCCAUUAAAAAGGUUUCUUUCCCGACCUCUUGAAAGCCAGCUGCCAUGUAACAAGUUGAAUUGCUCUGAGGCUGCCAUGUUGAGUGGAAACCCAAGCUCCUGACCCCACAGAACCAUGAGUUUACUAAAAGCAUUGUCAUUUCACACGCCCAGCUUAGGGAGGUUUGUUAACAUGGUGAGAGAGAGAACUAGCAGCCCCCGGUUCUACUUCAAAAAACUUUACUCCUUUUCCUUUCUGUGUUUUUCACUUCCUUUUCCUCCUUUCCUUUUCCUCCCUCUAUUCCUUGUUAUUUUCCCAUAUCCAACACACUAAGUUAAUUCAGCACUUUUUUUUUUUUUUUAGGGCUGCACCCAUAGCAUAUGGAGGGUCCCAGGUUGGGGUACAAAUCAGAGCUACAGCUGCCAGCCUAUACCAGAACCACAGCAACGUGGGAUCUGGGCUGCAUCUAUCCUGAGUUGCUGUGGCUGUGACGUAGGCUGGCAGCUGUACCUCUAACUCGAACCCUAGCCUGGGAACCCUCAUACGCCACAGGUGAGGCCCUAAAAAGCAAAAAAAUAAAAAAUGGAUAACUUUCCCCAAUAUAACAUAGGUAGAAUGCUUUUACACAAUAGUUCUGUGUGUCAUAGACAUGUUUCUUUGGUUUUGGGUUUUUUGGGGGUUUUUUUGUUUUUUUUGUUGGACCUCAAAGAUACCUAAUUAUUUCUGUUACAAUGAAAGCCCUAAUUACAAGGAUGCCUCAAUUGAACUUGAGUCCUUAAAAUAGUAUUUUCCCUCUGGUUUACAUCAUGAUCUCAGGGAAAUUUUAGUUUUAUUCUAAUGGAGUGGGCUUUAGUUUUAAUUCGUUUGUCAUUCUCCCAAAAAGAUAAAUUCAGACUCUUUUUGUAAUGCAAAUUCAUAACCCCUAAUUUAUAUGUUCUCAAGUUUGGAUUUUAGUAUACUGUACUUGACUUUCUUAAAGCAGGGCACACCUGAAUUAGCUUUUGGGAUAAAAGGAAUACAAAGAAAAUUGUGAGCAAAACAUCUGAUAUAGUUUUACUUGCAAAGUUCAAAUUUUCUGAAUGGGAUCAAGAUGGCAUGGCUUGAAAUGUGGCUAAAGGGAAUAAGAGAAAUAUGGUAAAUGUCUACAUAUCUGAAAGUGGUAGCAGUGAAGGUCUUAUACCGUAUUUCUUGGUGUAUUUUUCCUUAAAUAUUUCCACAUAUGUACACAUACAUUGGAGAAAGUAAACGGAGAAUUUUCUUGCCUCUCCCCUAGAAUCAUUACUGUCCCAUACAUUCUUCUGUUAUGGGAUAAUGGCCAUUCUUGCCAGCAUUCCCUUUUUAAAGCAGAUUUUGCUUUGACUUUACCAAACAAGAAAAGGGACUGAAUUUAAAAAGCAAUGAAAUUCUACUUGCUACUGGGGGAGGGACUGUCCUCAAAGCUCAGUCCUCUGGCUCUGCAAAGGCCUCUCCCUUCACCAUCCAGUUUUGCUUUGUCCUUUCCCCACAUGGCAAACCUUUAUCCAGCACCUGCUAGGGGCUGGGGGCACUGUGGUCAGUCUGAGUGGGGGUGGGGUGGGGAUGCUGGCCCUGCUCUCAAUGAGCUUAUAGCUCAAGGAAUGUUUUGAUUAAAUUUAUCAGUCAUAUCAGUGUCCAGGUCAAACACACACCUCAGUUAAAAGUGAUACUGAUAAUCUGUCAUAUGUGUGUGUGUGCGCGCGCGCGCGUGUGUGUGUGUGUGUGUAUACACGUAUAUAUAUACGCUUUUUUUUUCUGGCCAUG